GGGGUCGGGGUGAGAGAGACAAAGGAAGGGAAAGACACUGAGGACAUCCAGACAGAAAUGCACAGAUCACAGAUUAUACGUAGAUACAGCCCACCAUACGGGUCACGCUAACAAAUGACAUAAUGUCCUAAGGGGUGUGAUGAACUGUCUUAGGAACUGGAUGAAGGAGGGGUUAAUUCUGCCUAGGAGGCGGGAUACAGAAAAGAGGGGUCUCUGUGGAGAUUUAAAGUGCCCAGCCUGGACGAUUAUGCAGGAGAGAGUGCCAACAGCGACAUCAUGUGUCCAUGAGGAGCAACAGCAGGCUCUGACUGGAUCCUGAAGGCGGAUGUGGCGUGAAACCAACUCCAUUCGGGAUUGUGAUGCCUGAGAAAAUCAAGAUUGGGACAAGCUCCAAGAGAGAGAUGCCAGCGCUGUGGGGUCAGAAGCCCCUGGCAGAAAGACCAGGGGCGUGAGGAGGAGAGGCAGGAAGAAGGAAAGCAAAGGAUGUCACCCGCAGCCCUGUUCCCUGCCUGCCCCAGGCUCCACGUGGAGCGGGGCCUGCUCCACUUCCAGUCAGGUGCCUCAGUGUCCUCACACAACAGCAGAAGACGGAGGCAGCGAGGAUCCACUCACAAGAGGAGGAAGCGCUCUCCAUGGACUCUGUGUCCA
RNAcentral lists this long non-coding RNA (648 nucleotides) under Equus caballus (horse). RNAcentral's name for it is "lncRNA (ENSECAG00000057866.1)". Lineage: Eukaryota; Metazoa; Chordata; Mammalia; Perissodactyla; Equidae. The record is from RNAcentral.